This 408-nucleotide ribosomal RNA is filed under the name uncultured bacterium. RNAcentral describes it as "partial 16S ribosomal RNA". It matches the Rfam family "Bacterial small subunit ribosomal RNA", at positions 28 to 526 of the family's 1533-position model. The record is from RNAcentral.
GACGAACGCUGGCGGCGUGCUUAACACAUGCAAGUCGAACGAAGUGGCGAACGGGUGAGUAACGCGUAAUCAACCUGCCCUUCAGAGGGGGACAACAGUUGGAAACGACUGCUAAUCCCGCAUACUGAAGGAGGGGAUUGCGUCUGAUUAGCUAGUUGUGGGGGGCACGGCCCACCAAGGAGAAGAUCAGUAGCCGGUCUGAUAGGAUGAACGGCCACAGUGGGACUGGGACAAGGCCCAGACUCCUACGGGAGGCAGCAGUGGGGAAUCUUCCGCAAUGGACGAAAGUCUGACGGAGCAAAGCCGGGGGAGUGAUGACGGCCUUCGGGUGGUAAAGCUCUGUUAAUCGGGACGCGGUACCGGAAUAGAAAGCCACGGCUAACUACGUGCCAGCAGCCGCGGUAAUUC